Molecule: ribosomal RNA, 497 nt
Filed under: uncultured bacterium
Lineage: Bacteria
Description: partial 16S ribosomal RNA
Rfam family: Bacterial small subunit ribosomal RNA
Source: RNAcentral
GAUGAACGCUGGCGGCGUGCCUAAUACAUGCAAGUCGAGCGAACGGACGAGACUCUUGCUUCUCUGAUGUUAUCGGCGGACGGGUGAGUAACAUUUGGAUAACCUACCUAUAAGACUUGGAUAACUUCGGGAAACCGUAUCUAAUACCGGAUAAUAUUUUGACCCGCAUUGUUCAAAAGUGAAAGUCGGUCUUUCUGUCACUUAUAGCUGGCUACGCGCUGAAUUAUUAAGUUGGUAAGGUAACGGCUUAACAACGCAACGAGUCAUAGCCGACCUGAGAGAGUGGUCGGCCAGACGGGAACUGAGAAACGGUACAGACACCGGAGGGAGGAAGCAGUAGAGAAUCUUACGCGAUGGGCGAGAGGGUGACAGAGCAAAGCCGCGUGAGUGAUGAAGGUCUUCGGAUCGGAAAACUAUGUUAGUAGGGAAGAACAAAAGUGUAAGUAACUGUGAACAUAAUGACAGUACCUAAACAGAAAGCCACGGCUAACUACGUG